CAACACAUCCACACAAGCUCCCAACUUGAGAGUGUCGAUGGGACACGUGUUCUUUGGUGGUGAUGGGGUUGGCACUGGUGUUGGUGGUGGUGGAGGAGGACAUGGUGUCUCAGUGGGUGGAGGAGGCUUAACUGGUACAACUGGGGUAGGUGUAGGUGUUGGUGGGCUUGGUGGUACAACAGGUGGUGAUGGUGGUGGCUUAACUGGUACAACUGGGGUAGGUGUUGGUGUUGGUGGGCUUGGUGGUACAACAGGUGGUGAUGGUGGUGGCUUAACUGGUACAACUGGGGGCUUGGGUACAUAGGGUGGUGGGGGUUGUACAACUGGGGGCUUGGGUACAUAUGGUGGUGGUGGUUGUACAACUGGGGGUUUGGGGAUGAAGGGUGGGUGCACAAUUGGGGGUUUAGGGAUAAAAGGUGGGUGCACGAUUGGGGGCUUGGGGAUGAAGGGUGGGUGCACAAUUGGGGGCUUGGGGAUGAAGGGUGGGUGCACAAUUGGGGGUUUAGGGAUGAAGGGUGGGUGCACAAUUGGGGGUUUAGGGAUGAAGGGUGGGUGCACAAUUGGGGGUUUAGGGAUGAAGGGUGGGUGCACAAUUGGGGGCUUGGGGAUGAAGGGUGGGUGCACAAUUGGGGGCUUGGGGUGGGGUGGUGGUUUGACAAUAGGAGGCUUGGGGAUGAAGGGAGGUCUCACAAUAGGUGGUUUGGGGACAGAAGGAGGUUUUGGUAUAUGGGGAGGAUAUACAAUGGGGGGUUUGGGGCCAUGAGGUGGCUUGGGUACAUGGGGUGGAUGAGGAUGAGGUGGCUUUGAUGGUGGCUUGGGAACAUAGGGAGGCUUUACAUGAGGGGGAUGGGGUGGUUUUGAUGGUGGUUUGGGAACAUAGGGAGGCUUUACAUGAGGAGGAAGAGGUGGUUUUGAUGGUGGUUUGGGAACAGAGGGAGGCUUUACAUGAGGGGGAUGAGGUGGGUGUUUAGGUGGUUUAGGGAUGAAGGGUGGCUUUACAUGAGGAGGCUGUUUGGGUGGCAAGUGUGGAGGGUAUGUUGGUGGUGGACAGUAGGAGUUAGCAAGAGAAGUGAGCAAACUACCCAAAUUCACAAUGAGGACUAAGAGCAAAGCCAGGGUAUAAUUCCCCAUGUUCAAAACUCCACAACCCUCAAAAGAGUUGG
This 1163-nucleotide long non-coding RNA is filed under the name Prunus persica (peach). Its description in RNAcentral is "long non-coding RNA (PPER_LNC003776)". Lineage: Eukaryota; Viridiplantae; Streptophyta; Magnoliopsida; Rosales; Rosaceae. The record is from RNAcentral.